UACGUAGGGGGCAAGCGUUGUUCGGAAUUACUGGGCGUAAAGGGCGCGUAGGCGGCACGGCAAGUCAGGAGUGAAAGCCCUGGGCUCAACCCAGAAACUGCUUUUGAAACUGCCGAGCUAGAGUGCGGAAGGGGCAACUGGAAUUCCCAGUGUAGCGGUGAAAUGCGUAGAUAUUGGGAAGAACACCUGAGGCGAAGGCGGGUUGCUGGGCCGACACUGACGCUGAGUGCGCGAAAGCCAGGGGAGCGAACAGG
Molecule: ribosomal RNA, 254 nt
Filed under: uncultured bacterium
Lineage: Bacteria
Description: partial 16S ribosomal RNA
Rfam family: Bacterial small subunit ribosomal RNA
Source: RNAcentral